ACGUAGGGGGCGAGCGUUAUUCGGAAUUACUGGGUGUAAAGGGUAUGUAGGCGGCCCUUCAAGUCGCGUGUCAAAGUCCAGUGCUCAACGCUGGGAGUGCACGCGAUACUGAAGGGCUUGAGGGCGGGAGAGGUGAGCGGAAUUCCCGGUGUAGCGGUAGAAUGCGUAGAGAUCGGGAGGAACACCGAAGGCGAAGGCAGCUUUCUAGGCAGUAUCUGACGCUGAUAUGCGAAAGUGUGGGGAGCAAACAG
RNAcentral lists this ribosomal RNA (251 nucleotides) under uncultured prokaryote. Its description in RNAcentral is "partial 16S rRNA". It matches the Rfam family "Bacterial small subunit ribosomal RNA", at positions 525 to 775 of the family's 1533-position model. The record is from RNAcentral.